AACGUAGGAGACAAACGUUAUCCGGAGUUACUGGGCGUAAAGGGCGUGUAGGUGGUUCUGUAAGUCUGGCGUGAAAUUUUUCGGCUUAACCGGGAAAGGUCGUCGGAUACUGCAGGGCUAGAGGACGGUAGAGGCGUGUGGAAUUCCGGGUGUAGUGGUGAAAUGCGUAGAGAUCCGGAGGAACACCAGUGGCGAAGGCGACACGCUGGGCCGUACCUGACACUGAUGCGCGACAGCAUGGGGAGCAAACAGG
RNAcentral lists this ribosomal RNA (253 nucleotides) under uncultured bacterium. RNAcentral's name for it is "partial 16S ribosomal RNA". It matches the Rfam family "Bacterial small subunit ribosomal RNA", at positions 524 to 776 of the family's 1533-position model. The record is from RNAcentral.